This is a long non-coding RNA of Cuculus canorus (common cuckoo), 265 nucleotides long. RefSeq lists it as uncharacterized. The record is from RefSeq and is a predicted model, not a curated record. The transcript has 3 exons. Lineage: Eukaryota; Metazoa; Chordata; Aves; Cuculiformes; Cuculidae.
GUUCUCAGGCCCUGCCAGAGGCUGUCCAGGGAGGUGGUAGAGUUCCCAUCCCUGGAGGGGUUUAAAAGCCAGGCAGACGAGGUGCUCAGGGAUGUGGUUUAGCAGUGGACAGAGGACGAGCCAGACUCAAGGAGCUGUGGAUUCGAAGUGGACACUGAUAGCGCUCAUCCUACGUGAUCUCUGUGCAAUGCCAAAGCUGAAACCGGAGGACCGUUACCUGCUGAGGUGCGAGGAGAAAUCUCCACAUGUCACCCUGACAGGUACG